UGUUGCUGGCCCUCUCGGGGGCAUGUGCACACCCAUCAUCCUCAUCUCUCCACCUGUGCCUCUUGUAGACCUGGAUUGACUUUCCGAGGCAACUCGGUCGGGAAGAUUGCUGCGCUCUGUGAGCCAGCUUUCUUUGCAUGUCCAGGACUAUGUUUUUCAUAUACCCCUAUAGAAUGUAACAGAAUGUAUCAUUGGGCCUUGUGCCUAUAAACCUUAUACAACUUUCAGCAACGGAUCUCUUGGCUCUCGCAUCGAUGAAGAACGCAGCGAAAUGCGAUAAGUAAUGUGAAUUGCAGAAUUCAGUGAAUCAUCGAAUCUUUGAACGCACCUUGCGCUCCUUGGUAUUCCGAGGAGCAUGCCUGUUUGAGUGUCAUUAAAUUCUCAACCUUAUUAGCUUUUGUUGAUAAUGGAUUGGAUGUGGGGGUUUAUUUUGCUGGCUUCUUCACAGAGAUCAGCUCCCCUUAAAUGCAUUAGCUGGUGACCCGCGUGGACCAUCUAUUGGUGUGAUAAUUAUCUACGCCGUGGAUGUCUGCAAUCAUAUGGGUUUUGCACUGCUUCUAACCGUCUGUUCAUUCGGACAAUACAUGACAAUUUGACCUCAAAUCAGGUAGGACUACCCGCUGAACUUAAGCAUAUCAUUAAGCGGAGGAAAAGAAACUAACAAGGAUUCCCCUAGUAACUGCGAGGAAGGCGGGAAAAGCUCAAAUUUAAAAUCUGGCCGUCUCCGGCCGUCC
RNAcentral lists this ribosomal RNA (734 nucleotides) under Alnicola badia. RNAcentral's name for it is "eukaryotic LSU rRNA". The stretch from base 220 to 373 matches the Rfam family "5.8S ribosomal RNA". Lineage: Eukaryota; Fungi; Basidiomycota; Agaricomycetes; Agaricales; Hymenogastraceae. The record is from RNAcentral.